Molecule: ribosomal RNA, 253 nt
Filed under: uncultured prokaryote
Description: partial 16S ribosomal RNA
Rfam family: Bacterial small subunit ribosomal RNA
Source: RNAcentral
UACGGAGGGUGCGAGCGUUGUUCGGAAUCACUGGGCGUAAAGGGCGUGUAGGCGGUCCGUUAAGUCUGAUGUGAAAGCCCGGGGCUCACCCCCGGAAGGGCAUUGGAAACUGGCGGACUCGAGUCCCGGAGAGGAGAGUGGAAUUCCUGGUGUAGCGGUGAAAUGCGUAGAUAUCAGGAGGAACACCGGUGGCGAAGGCGGGUCUCUGGGCCGAUACUGACGCUGAGGAGCGAAAGCGUGGGGAGCGAACAGG